Molecule: long non-coding RNA, 575 nt
Organism: Varroa destructor (honeybee mite)
Lineage: Eukaryota; Metazoa; Arthropoda; Arachnida; Mesostigmata; Varroidae
Gene: Atg13
Source: RefSeq, a predicted model, not a curated record
AAACUUUUUCGACAGCUAUAACUUUAAUGAUUUAUUUUUCGUUUUUUUUUAUUUAAUGACUCAAUUAUCGUUUGAUUCCUCCUCGUGUAUCGUCGGUUCGAAUCUCUUAUUAACGAUCGUACCAAUUUCCAACGACUUUUUGGAGCUUUUUUUGUUGUUGUUGCUUUAUGUUUGCUUAACAGUGAAAUUAAUUCUUUCUUACUUGCGCUGGGAGACAAUUCUAUCGAUACACGAGAAAAAAGUGAACGUGUUUAACAUAUUAAGAUUAAAGAAGCAGUAGAUAUCUAAGUAAAUGAAACAGUUUGCCUAGCCAAGUAACUCUGUGGAAGUGGAACUGGAGAGCGAGGUAUCGAAACCCUAGACGUCCGCUGUUUUUACUCUCUCGACAUGCAGCUCACUGAGGAGUUUACUGUGUUUGCUACCGCACCAGACCCAUAGCGGUUGUUCUUCGAAACAGGGUUUGCGCCUUCUGGACGACCCCACAAAGUGGUGUGUGUGCAAACACAAUUGCCUAUCAGUGUGGCGGUGGAACAGGUUAUCUUGAGAAUACUGGGCUGGACAGAAUGGCAACACCG